CAAUGAAAACUGCACUAUUGUUUCCUUUAAUAAUAAACAUACUACUCAUUCUUCUCUGUUCUUGAGUAGUUUACACCAACUACCAUUGCUAAGAUGAUGAGAUGGUCAAAAUUCGAAAACGCCUUUUUGUUUAUUGGCUUUCAUUUGAUAUUUACAGUCUUUAAUUUGGAGAGAAAAGAAGUCAAACCAACUAGAACAUGAGCUCUUAGGAAAACAUAGAAAUGGUGAAACCAUGCGAGAAAAUAAAGAGUAAUUUUACUACAUGACAAUUAGCGAUUAAAAAGCUAUUCAGCUAUUUCCAUGUUGGAGUUGUCCCGUAUAACCAAUCGCGUUUUAAUUCAAUUUUUACUCGAGAGCUUCUUUCUUCUUUCUCUUUGGCUCAUCUUUUUCAUCGAUCAAUCAAUCAACUACAAGCUAAAAGAAAAAAAAAAUCAGUCAGUAUCAUUCCUCCGAGUAGGACAAAGAGAAAGGAGACAAGACUCACAUUCCCCUACUUUGUCAAUCAAAGUCUCAUUUAAUCUAUUCUUGAAAGUGUAUGAAUAGAAGACCAUUUUCUAGAAUGUCUUGUAUUCAGGCCUCCAUUGGCCUUCGGGGGUACUCCAUUCGCCCACAUGCUCAGCUGAACCAAGCCACACAGGCCUUAAAAGACAAACAAGCAGAUUCUCGGAUUGAAGAAGCAGUGACUGUCAUUGAUGAAGUCCAGCAUCAGGAGCCUACAUUCUCAAAUUAGUUGGAAUCAUCGGUUAAAUGAACAUUUCGAAACCACUCAAAGGAUUUUAUCAUAAUUAAACUACUUUUAUGUUUGCCAUCAACUACAAUAACCAAACCGUCUUGGAACUGACUAUACUUGAUACAAUAAUGAAAGCUUUGUCUUGCUUUAACCGAAAAUGACUAUUCUUUUUAAAGAAAAGAGAAAAAACGAUGCUACUUCAUUUGGAAUAAUGGUGCAAUUGCAACCGAGACACAACCCAACGAAUUUCACCCUCCGUACUUUUCACUUUAAAAAAGUGAAAAAUAUAAACUACUCCACUUUUGAUUACAAAACAAGGACAUCCAAAUUGGAUAACGAAGACUAAAAAGUACUAUAAGCAAAGAAGCCAUUCGUGUUAUUUCUAUCCCAGUCCAACUUUUAUUGACAACAACAAUGUUAGCAAUAAUAACAUCGAAUUUUCACAGAAGGUGCGGAUGUCGACCUUAUCCUUACCCUUACUCCUAUGAUAGCAACAACAACAAAUCAAGUAAAUUUACACAAAUAAAAUUUAGAGAGAGUAAUAUGUAUAUAGACUUGCUCUAGAAUAUUAAAACACUGUUAGGAUAGACCCUCUGCUUAACAAAUGUCAAAAUCAAAACUCACAAAUCACAACUAUCAUUCUAUUCUAACACCUCUUCCUCAGAACAAGAAGAAAAAGAAGAUAGAGAAACCUUUUCGUUCUCCAAGGCAAAAUCUUCGGCCCAACCAAUAAAAAAUUCUCAAGUAGUAGGCUAUAAUUUUUAACAAGAAAGAAAAAGGCAUUUCGCAUCAGAUUUCUGAAUUCUCAUCUCUCCCAACAAGAAAAGAAACCCCUAUAGAUCUAAUAAGUUUUCACCAAAAAAUAAAAAUUUUAAAACCAAAAAAUAUACUACAGUAUAUACUACGUAUUUAUUUUACUAAAAUAGCGCUUAC
RNAcentral lists this long non-coding RNA (1663 nucleotides) under Nicotiana tabacum (common tobacco). RNAcentral describes it as "long non-coding RNA (NTAB_LNC016875)". The record is from RNAcentral. Lineage: Eukaryota; Viridiplantae; Streptophyta; Magnoliopsida; Solanales; Solanaceae.